GUGGGUAUAACUUAGUGGUAGAGUGCAUGCUUAGUAUGCCCUGGGUUCAAUCCCUAGUACCUCCA
Molecule: transfer RNA, 65 nt
Organism: Camelus ferus (Wild Bactrian camel)
Lineage: Eukaryota; Metazoa; Chordata; Mammalia; Artiodactyla; Camelidae
Rfam family: tRNA
About the family: Transfer RNA (tRNA) molecules are approximately 80 nucleotides in length. Their secondary structure includes four short double-helical elements and three loops (D, anti-codon, and T loops). Further hydrogen bonds mediate the characteristic L-shaped molecular structure. tRNAs have two regions of fundamental functional importance: the anti-codon, which is responsible for specific mRNA codon recognition, and the 3' end, to which the tRNAs corresponding amino acid is attached (by aminoacyl-tRNA synthetases). tRNAs cope with the degeneracy of the genetic code in two manners: having more than one tRNA (with a specific anti-codon) for a particular amino acid; and 'wobble' base-pairing, i.e. permitting non-standard base-pairing at the 3rd anti-codon position.
Source: Rfam